CACGUAGGGGCCAAGCGUUGUCCGGAUUUAUUGGGCGUAAAGAGCUCGUAGGCGGUUGGGUAAGUCGGGUGUGAAAACUCCAGGCUCAACUUGGAGACGCCACCCGAUACUGCUCUGACUUGAGUUCGGUAGGGGAGUGGGGAAUUCCUGGUGUAGCGGUGAAAUGCGCAGAUAUCAGGAAGAACACCCGUGGCGAAGGCGGUUCUCUGGGACGGUACUGACGCUGAGACGCGAAAGCGUGGGGAGCGAACAGG
RNAcentral lists this ribosomal RNA (254 nucleotides) under uncultured bacterium. RNAcentral's name for it is "partial 16S ribosomal RNA". It matches the Rfam family "Bacterial small subunit ribosomal RNA", at positions 524 to 776 of the family's 1533-position model. The record is from RNAcentral.